RNAcentral lists this RNase P RNA (361 nucleotides) under Salinisphaeraceae bacterium. RNAcentral describes it as "RNase P RNA component class A". It matches the Rfam family "Bacterial RNase P class A". From Rfam's summary of the family: Ribonuclease P (RNase P) is a ubiquitous endoribonuclease, found in archaea, bacteria and eukarya as well as chloroplasts and mitochondria. Its best characterised activity is the generation of mature 5'-ends of tRNAs by cleaving the 5'-leader elements of precursor-tRNAs. Lineage: Bacteria; Pseudomonadati; Pseudomonadota; Gammaproteobacteria; Salinisphaerales; Salinisphaeraceae. The record is from RNAcentral.
GGAGCCGGCUCGGCGGUCGCUCGUCCGGUCGCAGGACCGGUCGGGAGGAAAGUCCGGGCUCCACAGGGCAGAGUGCCAGGUAACGCCUGGGAGGCGUGAGCCUACGGAAAGUGCCACAGAAAACAGACCGCCGCGGCUGCGCAUGGCGUAUCGCGGUAAGGGUGAAAAGGUGCGGUAAGAGCGCACCGCGCGGCCGGCAACGGUUCGCGGCACGGUAAACCCCACUCGGAGCAAGACCAAAUAGGGAAGCAAUGGCGCGGCCCGCGCUGCUUCCGGGUAGGUCGCUAGAGGCCGACAGUGAUGUCGGUCCCAGAUGAAUGACCGCUCUCGACAGAACCCGGCUUACCGGCCGGCUCCAUUU